CCCUUAGAUGUCCUGGGCUGCACGCGCGCUACACUGAUGGAGGCAACGAGUAACAUCCUUGGCCGAUAGGUCUGGGUAAUCUUGUCAAACUCCAUCGUGCUGGGGAUAGAUUAUUGCAAUUAUUAAUCUUCAACGAGGAAUUCCUAGUAAGCAUAAGUCAUCAGCUUGUGCUGAUUACGUCCCUGCCCUUUGUACACACCGCCCGUCGCUACUACCGAUUGAAUGGCUUAGUGAGGCCUCCGGACUUGCCGAUUUGUGCUGGAAACGGCGCUAUCUGGCGGAAAGUUGGACAAACUUGGUCAUUUAGAGGAAGUAAAANUCGUANCA
This 327-nucleotide ribosomal RNA is filed under the name uncultured eukaryote. RNAcentral describes it as "partial 18S ribosomal RNA". It matches the Rfam family "Eukaryotic small subunit ribosomal RNA", at positions 1470 to 1796 of the family's 1831-position model. The record is from RNAcentral.